Molecule: transfer RNA, 70 nt
Filed under: Dipodomys ordii (Ord's kangaroo rat)
Lineage: Eukaryota; Metazoa; Chordata; Mammalia; Rodentia; Heteromyidae
Rfam family: tRNA
About the family: Transfer RNA (tRNA) molecules are approximately 80 nucleotides in length. Their secondary structure includes four short double-helical elements and three loops (D, anti-codon, and T loops).
Source: Rfam by way of RNAcentral
GGGAAAGUAGCUCAGUGGUAGAGUGCAUGCCUUGCAAGCAUGAGGCCCUGGGUUCGAUUCCUCAGUACCA